RNAcentral lists this long non-coding RNA (162 nucleotides) under Chinchilla lanigera (long-tailed chinchilla). RNAcentral describes it as "Prostate androgen-regulated transcript 1 conserved region 3 (ENSCLAG00000019721.1)". It matches the Rfam family "Prostate androgen-regulated transcript 1 conserved region 3". Lineage: Eukaryota; Metazoa; Chordata; Mammalia; Rodentia; Chinchillidae. The record is from RNAcentral.
CUUUAAAAAUAUCUGAGACAAACAAGGAAAAUAAUGUCCUACCUCACCCUGCCACCACCCCAGAAGACAGAAAAAUUUCCCUGUGCCAGACCAGAGCAGAAAUGGCAGGAAGGGGAAAGAGUGACUGCAUCUAGCAUCCUGGCAGGAGAAUCUAUACAAGGA